Molecule: long non-coding RNA, 285 nt
Organism: Haliotis rubra (blacklip abalone)
Lineage: Eukaryota; Metazoa; Mollusca; Gastropoda; Lepetellida; Haliotidae
Exons: 2
Source: RefSeq, a predicted model, not a curated record
CUCAUGGCCAUCUGGUUCGGACAGGAAAACUUGGUUUCUUAUAUCCUCUACACCUAAACAUGAUUGAAUAAGAUACUUUAGUUAACAAAUACACUGUGAUGAAGGGGCGGUGAGGUAGCCUAGUGGUUAAAACGUUGGCUCGUCACGCCGAAGACCCGGGUUCGAAUCCCCACAUGGGUACAAUGUGUGAAGCCUAUUUCUGCAAUACAAAUCAUCUUAGCAUACAUAUGCACAAACAGGAAAGUAUAUUUCCCCUAUCACUUCCGGCAAAUUUCAAACUUCAUA